GCACGCUUGGCUGAGUGGUCAAAAGCACCGGGCUGCAUCCCCGGGCGGUAUACGCUGGUUCGAAUCCAGCAGCGUGCU
RNAcentral lists this transfer RNA (78 nucleotides) under Pseudoduganella namucuonensis. RNAcentral describes it as "Massilia sp. 333-1-0411 tRNA". It matches the Rfam family "tRNA". From Rfam's summary of the family: Transfer RNA (tRNA) molecules are approximately 80 nucleotides in length. Their secondary structure includes four short double-helical elements and three loops (D, anti-codon, and T loops). The record is from Rfam by way of RNAcentral. Lineage: Bacteria; Pseudomonadati; Pseudomonadota; Betaproteobacteria; Burkholderiales; Oxalobacteraceae.